AAAUAAUCACAGGCCUGCAUCUCUCCAUUCUUUUAUUUUGAGUUUUCAGAUUCAUGUUAUGUGUAUUCCAGGUUGAUGGAUUUUAGGCUGAAUUUAGAUUACUGAAGUGUAGACAUCUUCAUCCUGACAGCUGGAAGGCUUGGACUCCCUGUCAGGUCAACAAAGAAAAAUAGACAAUUCUAGGAUGUGAUUCAUCUCAUCCCAGAGCAGAUAUCUAAAAUAAGUCAUAUGAAUCAAGUCUUAAAACUUGUUUCCUUCUUCUUGUUAUAAUGGGAGCCUGGAGCAGCUAGUUCAGAUAUACACAUCCCAAUAUUUGCUUCAGUAAAUGCUACUUUUAAAAAGGUUCCCUAUGUCUGCAAAGAAGACUGAGACAUCUCCAAAGGACAGCUUAUCCCUUAAGACCAGUGAUUAAGACUGCUGGGAAAAAUUAACCACUGGAGGUAGACUGUACUGAGUAAAGUGUAUUAGUAGGUGACAGAACAUAUGUCACACAAUAUCUAAGAAAGCCUCUGUCUAGAAGACUACAACCUAAUAAAGAGUAUCUGGAAGCAAUAAUAAGUACAAAAGGAAACAAAAGUUGAGAACCACUUUGAUGUUACUACGAGCAUGUCUCUGGGAUGAGUUUAUGGAAAAGACCCUGUCUCUUGUGCAGCAGAUGAACCUGAAUUCCUCUGCAAGGCUGUGAGGUUCAGCCCAUCCCUGUUUUCAGAAGGCUGGCCAUCUGGAAGUGCUUUACAGCUUUCAUUAAUAGAGAGAUUUAUUGAAUGCAGUAAUGUAAAACGCAAAUAACU
This 791-nucleotide long non-coding RNA is filed under the name Anas platyrhynchos platyrhynchos (common mallard). Its description in RNAcentral is "lncRNA (ENSAPLG00000017265.1)". Lineage: Eukaryota; Metazoa; Chordata; Aves; Anseriformes; Anatidae. The record is from RNAcentral.